RNAcentral lists this long non-coding RNA (202 nucleotides) under Pan troglodytes (chimpanzee). Its description in RNAcentral is "long non-coding RNA NONPTRT010786". Lineage: Eukaryota; Metazoa; Chordata; Mammalia; Primates; Hominidae. The record is from RNAcentral.
UAUGAGAGAGAGAGAGAGAGAUUUGACUGGGCUAAGAAAGAAAUGAAGACGAUUUAGAGAUGGAAAUGGUGACAUAUGGGCCUUUGAAGCCUCCCAUGUUCCAGAGAAGACUGUGUGCGAAAUGUUCAAACUUGCUCACUGGGUUAAAAAGGAUGGAUAGCUUACAGAAAAAGAAGAAAAAAAGGAAACUCGGCUGUGCGCG